ACUCCAAACCCUUCGAUUUUGGCUCCGAAAACAGAUGCCGUAGCAGAUUUUAUUUCCCUUUCCGGUGAGCAUGCUGAAUUUCACACCAAAUUUCGGCGACCACCGUCGAAUAAAACUGCCUAGCACCACCAUUAAUGGGAAGCUAACUUCUCGAGGUUUGUAACAGUACCUUCUAUCAUCAAUACUCCACCGUUAACACCUCCGUUCAUUUAAUUCUUUGAAGAGCCAAAAGUUGAACACCAGAUAACGGCCACCAUCGGCGACCUCUGCCGGAAAUCACCAACACCGGUGUACAUCUGAACCCACAAUUAUUCCAAAGGUGGGUCCUGAUCGACGAGAUUCAUUCUCGAAGGUCUCCAAACUAUUAUUUUUCCUUAAAACCCAAAUCUGAAAUUAUCUUUUCAAAUCCCAAUUCUUUUCCUGUAAUCAAAUCUUCCGAAUCUCCUGAAUGAAUUCGAGAAUUCUCGAACAGGGGUAGGAACUAGGGCUUGGAGAAAUUGGGUGAAAUAGGCGAAUACUUUUGGGGAAAACAAAAGAGGUAAGAUAAGAGGGAUUUUGGUGCAAACAUAAUGAAGAAAUUAGGAGAUAAUUUUUUCUUGAUUUUCUGUAAUAUUAUGCGAGAAUGGGUAGAGGGAGAAAGAGAGCGUAA
This 649-nucleotide long non-coding RNA is filed under the name Erythranthe guttata (spotted monkey flower). RNAcentral describes it as "long non-coding RNA (EGUT_LNC002914)". The record is from RNAcentral. Lineage: Eukaryota; Viridiplantae; Streptophyta; Magnoliopsida; Lamiales; Phrymaceae.